Molecule: ribosomal RNA, 434 nt
Filed under: uncultured Pseudobutyrivibrio sp.
Lineage: Bacteria; Bacillati; Bacillota; Clostridia; Lachnospirales; Lachnospiraceae
Description: partial 16S ribosomal RNA
Rfam family: Bacterial small subunit ribosomal RNA
Source: RNAcentral
ACGGGAGGCAGCAGUGGGGAAUAUUGCACAAUGGGCGCAAGCCUGAUGCAGCGACGCCGCGUGAGCGAAGAAGUAUUUCGGUAUGUAAAGCUCUAUCAGCAGGGAAGAUAAUGACGGUACCUGACUAAGAAGCACCGGCUAAAUACGUGCCAGCAGCCGCGGUAAUACGUAUGGUGCAAGCGUUAUCCGGAUUUACUGGGUGUAAAGGGCGCGUAGGCGGGAAAGCAAGUCAGAUGUGAAAUUCCACGGCUUAACUGUGGGCGUGCAUUUGAAACUGUUUUUCUUGAGUACUGGAGAGGUGGGCGGAAUUCCCAGUGUAGCGGUGAAAUGCAUAGAUAUUGGGAGGAACAUCAGUGGCGAAGGCGGCCUACUGGACAGCAACUGACGCUGAGGCGCGAAAGCGUGGGGAGCAAACAGGAUUAGAUACCCUGGUA